GUUAUAGCCAAAUUUGGCUAGGUCCUUGUUGGGCCAGGUAUGUACUUAGUUUAACUAAGUAAGACAUGAAUUGGGCUAAGAGUCCUAUAUAAAGGAAGGACGCGUCCUCCUGCUUAUAAAGUGAGGACGCGACCGACCCUUGAAGAGACUAGUCUGAACGGAAGGGCGCAGCCCUCCGUGAUAUGACUGAUCCGCCGAUGUUGCGUAUCUUAAUGAAGAGGACGCGUCCUCCGCGUCGGAAGGAGGGAUGCGUCCUCCAGGUCACACGUGUCCCAUGAAGAGGACGCGUCCUCCUGCUUAUAAAGGGAGGAUGCGAUCGACCUUUGGUGUUGCGUGAAGAGGACGCGUCCUCCUGCUUAUAAAGGGAGGAUGUGACCGACCAUUGGUGUUGCGUGAAGAGGACGCGUCUUCCGAGUCACAAGGAGGGACGCCUUACUUGAGAGUAUUGAUGGAGAGACGCGACCGACCUCCGUCCACCCACGUCGUGUAAUCUAUGGAGGAGGGCGCGCCCUCUUCGGAGGUGACCGAGGGGCGCGUCCCUUGUAAGAAGUUGACCAUGAGAUGAAGACCAAGGGCGUGCCUUUAACGGGGUGUCCUCGCCUCCCCGGGGGCGCGACCUCAUGUUAAAGAAGGACCUGUCUGAUGUGUUGUUGGAGUGGUCGAUGGGACGAGACGGCGAAGGCAAGGGCGCGCCCUCAGGGGUCGCUCCCACAUGUAAACACAUAUUGUAAGAAGGCUCUUCCUAUAGGAGAGCGUACAUUCGCUGAGACAACCCUUCCGAGGGAGACGAAGACCGCCCCUCCGGGGAUAGGAAGACCUACCCCUCCGGGGGAUAUGACGACCCCUCCGGGGGAUACGACGACUCUUCCGAGGUGUUGUAGCCGUUUUUGUAUAUCAUGUGGAGGGGAGGACGCGCCCUCCCCAGACAUGGCCCGGGAGGUGUGGUCUCUUGUCCAGUAAGGAGGAUUGAAGACAAGAUAAGGGAAGGACGCGCCCUCCCCAGACAUGGCCCGGGAGGUGCGGUCUCUUGUCCAGUAAACAGGGAUGAAGACGGGAAUUGGGAAGGACACGUCCUCCCUAUCAGGGCGCGUCCUUUGACUCAGAAGAGGCAUAGUUAUGAAAUACAUGAUGAAAGAAAGAGGAUGAGUGAGUCUCCGUGACGACCCUUCCGAGGGAUAUGAAGACUAGUUACCAAGCUCAUUUGGUAGUUAUCAGGCUCAUCUGAUAGUUCCCGGGCUCAUCCGGGCAUGAUCUACAAUCCUCAAUCCUGCUAUCUGCCGAGUUAACCCUCGUGUGGGGGCUUGAGGUGAUCAUGGCUCUUGAAGGCCCUCCGGGGUAACACGAAGGCCGAUCAUAUGUCUGGAUCCUGUAUUCUGGUGAGUUAGCCCUCAUCGGGGGAUUGAGACGAUCGUGUAAUUCGGCUCCUUGUCUACCUUGUUUGAAGAUGAAGACCUCACCGAGAGGUGAGGACGUGUCCCUGCACCUCGAG
Molecule: long non-coding RNA, 1489 nt
Filed under: Daucus carota (carrot)
Lineage: Eukaryota; Viridiplantae; Streptophyta; Magnoliopsida; Apiales; Apiaceae
Description: long non-coding RNA (DCAR_LNC002217)
Source: RNAcentral